UUACAUUCUCAAGCAUAUUCUAAGCAUUUCUACAUUCUCAAACUAGUAUGUACAAGGCUUUAGAUUAUUCCGCAAUUGGAAGCUAUGUCAAAUAACUUUAUAAAUUAUAACCUUUGGUUUCUCUUCAAAAAAAAUUAUAACCUUUGGUAGUAACCGGCUCGAAUCAAACUUAUACGUAUAUCCGUAGUUGAGUGGUUGAACACUUGAACCAGCGUUCACCAUCAAUCUCAACACAGUUCUAGUCAAGUAACUCGCAAAGACCAAACACAUACUAUAUCCCAGGUGGAUCCAAGAACAUCUUAGAUUCCAAGGUCUACUUUGGAUCCUCGCUACAAGUUUUAUCAGGAAUAUCAGCCAACACUCUCUCGGAAUGCCCAUUUGGAUAUUUCUGAGCCUCUAGCAUCAGACCCCCAGGAAUUCGAAUCUAUCAAUCAAGCCGAGAAACCAGUUGUGUCUGUAAUUCCAGGUUAUACUAAGCCCUCGGUUACACGUUCGUUGUCAAAUGCUUCCAAGCAUUCAGGUGCUGAAUCCCCUGGGCAAGCAAGUACUAGCAGUUUGUUGGCUGCUGUCGUGAGAAGUGGUAUAUUGAGUUCUGAUACUCUGGUUGGCAGCUUACCUGGAUUGAAUUCUCAAGAUAGUGUUAGUCCUCCCUUACCAAGUUGUUCUUCUCCUGCCCAACCUGUAGAUAUUUCACCAUCGCCAUCUCCAAAUGUGACAAAUUCUUGUUCUAAUCCAGUGUUGAGUCUUCUAAGUACCUUGGUAGCAAAGGGAUUGAUAAUUGCAUCAAAGACCGUCCCGGACUGUUGUUGAAUCUAAAAUAGCCCCAACUGUAAGCAAAAAUUAGUGUGGUUUGUUCGGAGUCUAAAAUAGCUCCUCAAAUUCCAAUUCGAAGCCCUCCAACUGUAAGCAAAAAUUAGUGUGGUUUGUUCGGUGCCAGCCUCAGAAAAGGACACAUGAUGCUCCAAUGUAGAACUCAGGAAACCAAAAAUUUCAGGAAAAGGACACAUGAUGCUCCAAUGUAGAACUCAGGAAACCAAAAAUUUCAGGUUUUAUCAAUUUUUGUUUGUUGGAUAUAUAAACUCAAGUUAGACUUGUCCUAGGUUUUAUUGAAAAUGCAAGCAACUGAAGCAAGCAAUCAGGAAAAAACAAGUAUAUGCCAUUGUGAGCCAGCCAUCUUUGCUAAUUUGGCUGGCAUUUCUA
This is a long non-coding RNA of Ipomoea triloba (trilobed morning glory), 1200 nucleotides long. RefSeq lists it as uncharacterized. NCBI's taxonomy places the organism in Eukaryota, Viridiplantae, Streptophyta, Magnoliopsida, Solanales, Convolvulaceae. The transcript is spliced from 3 exons. The record is from RefSeq and is a predicted model, not a curated record.